RNAcentral lists this ribosomal RNA (826 nucleotides) under Septoria gaurina. Its description in RNAcentral is "partial large subunit ribosomal RNA". It matches the Rfam family "Eukaryotic large subunit ribosomal RNA", at positions 71 to 925 of the family's 3401-position model. The record is from RNAcentral. Lineage: Eukaryota; Fungi; Ascomycota; Dothideomycetes; Mycosphaerellales; Mycosphaerellaceae.
GGGAUUGCCCUAGUAACGGCGAGUGAAGCGGCAACAGCUCAAAUUUGAAAUCUGGCGCAAGCCCGAGUUGUAAUUUGUAGAGGAUGCUUCUGGGUAGCGACCGAUCUAAGUUCCUUGGAACAGGACGUCAUAGAGGGUGAGAAUCCCGUAUGUGACCGGCCCGCACCCUUUACGUAGCUCCUUCGACGAGUCGAGUUGUUUGGGAAUGCAGCUCUAAAUGGGAGGUAAAUUUCUUCUAAAGCUAAAUACCGGCCAGAGACCGAUAGCGCACAAGUAGAGUGAUCGAAAGAUGAAAAGUACUUUGGAAAGAGAGUUAAAAAGCACGUGAAAUUGUUGAAAGGGAAGCGCCUGCAACCAGACUUCGCGGCAGUGUUCCGCCGGUCUUCUGACCGGUUCAUUCUCUGUCGCGAGGCCAUCAUCGUCUGGGCCCGCCGGAUAAGACCUUAGGAAUGUAGCUCACCUUCGGGGGAGUGUUAUAGCCUAGGGUGAUGCGGCGAGGCUCGGGCGAGGUCCGCGCUUCGGCAAGGAUGAUGGCGUAAUGGUUGUCGGCGGCCCGUCUUGAAACACGGACCAAGGAGUCUAACAUCUAUGCGAGUGUUCGGGUGUCAAACCCCUACGCGUAAUGAAAGUGAACGGAGGUGGGAACCGCAAGGUGCACCAUCGACCGAUCCUGAUGUCCUCGGAUGGAUUUGAGUAAGAGCAUAGCUGUUGGGACCCGAAAGAUGGUGAACUAUGCCUGAAUAGGGUGAAGCCAGAGGAAACUCUGGUGGAGGCUCGCAGCGGCUUCUGACGUGCAAAUCGAUCGUCAAAUUUGGGUAUAGGGGCG